UAGAAUCCUGCCUUUGAGAGAGACCAGGGACUCAGCUGCUGGAGGAACUAGGAGCUUGCUUCUCUGAUCCCAGUACACUUCCUGCUAUUAACAUGUUUGCCGAAUUGAUGCAUUUUAAACGAUCCAGCGAAUGUUUAGCACUUGCACUUGCGACGCAGACACCGAGGCACACAGAGGCCAAUUUCACCUGCCCAGAGGGAUGAGACCUCUGAUUCUGAGAGGACCAAGUUACGUUUACGUGACACCAAAGAAUGAACUAUCUGCUUCAGUCAAGACUCGGGAUGGAACCUCACCAGGCCAGAACAUCAGGCUGGACUCCUGGCAUGCAGAGGGACAAUGCCACACGAUCUAGCCACAUUGUCACUCCCAGAAAGCUAUAAUGGAGGGCAUUUAUGCCAUUCUUUAUAAAAUGAGAAGUUUACUAAAGACACAGCAUCAUGCCGGGGUGGAAUAAAUGGACUUCAGGAACAUGGGGGUAGGCUCAUGACCAGGGCUAUGGCUUCAGAAAUACCAAGACAGAGUUAAACCAACAGCAACAUAGCACCUGCAAUCAGCAAGCCAUCAGUAUACCUUCUUUAGUUCUGCCCUCCACAGGGGACUUAGGAGCACAUUUCCCUGUACGUGUGCCACCUGCAGGGACUAGCAUUGAAACACAGCAAGCCACCUGAUGAGCAGGUAUAGGAAAUGAUAGGAGCGACUUCAUGACAUUUUGAUGUAGGGAUAAAAGCAGACAAAGUCAAGUUUCUGGGCUGGAAAUCCUCAAGGCCUCAAUGUCCAACUACCUGUGAAAAUGUCCUCGGGAGGUAACUCCAGACCUAGAGUUCCAAAGGUGGGAUGCAUCCUGGCAGAACAACGUUGGAGAUCACACUACACUACUAGAACUUAGAUAUGCUCCUAGGAGAUCUGGACACCUUCAGUGUCUGUUCCACGUCUUGAAGAAGUCACACAACCCCUCCACAUCUUGGUUUUCCAACUUGUAAUACAAUUGAAUUGCCCACUUGUCUCUCUUCAUAUGGAGAAUUAGAACGACAGUGAACACAGGGGAGACCUUUAGGAAUAGGAGAAGACCGCUUCAAGUACACAGUCUCAGUCACGUGAUCUGCUUUUCACUUUGACCUCAACGGAGCCAGCAGAAGAAAAAGUCUCCAACAAGAAAGGACGACAAAGCCAGGUGAUGGUGAUGCACACCUUUAAUCUCUACACUUGGGAGGCAGAGGCAGGGGGAUCUCUG
Molecule: non-coding RNA, 1231 nt
Organism: Myodes glareolus (Bank vole)
Lineage: Eukaryota; Metazoa; Chordata; Mammalia; Rodentia; Cricetidae
Source: RefSeq, a predicted model, not a curated record